GAUGAACGCUGGCGGCGUGCCUAAUACAUGCAAGUCGAGCGAACAGACGAGGAGCUUGCUCCUCUGACGUUAGCGGCGGACGGGUGAGUAACACGUGGAUAACCUACCUAUAAGACUGGGAUAACUUCGGGAAACCGGAGCUAAUACCGGAUAAUAUAUUGAACCGCAUGGUUCAAUAGUGAAAGACGGUUUUGCUGUCACUUAUAGAUGGAUCCGCGCCGCAUUAGCUAGUUGGUAAGGUAACGGCUUACCAAGGCAACGAUGCGUAGCCGACCUGAGAGGGUGAUCGGCCACACUGGAAAUGAGACACGGUCCAGACUCCUACGGGAGGCAGCAGUAGGGAAUCUUCCGCAAUGGGCGAAAGCCUGACGGAGCAACGCCGCGUGAGUGAUGAAGGUCUUCGGAUCGUAAAACUCUGUUAUUAGGGAAGAACAAAUGUGUAAGUAACUAUGCACGUCUUGACGGUACCUAAUCAGAAAGCCACGGCUAACUACGU
This 496-nucleotide ribosomal RNA is filed under the name uncultured bacterium. RNAcentral describes it as "partial 16S ribosomal RNA". It matches the Rfam family "Bacterial small subunit ribosomal RNA", at positions 28 to 506 of the family's 1533-position model. The record is from RNAcentral.